Molecule: non-coding RNA, 30 nt
Filed under: Mus musculus (house mouse)
Lineage: Eukaryota; Metazoa; Chordata; Mammalia; Rodentia; Muridae
Source: RNAcentral
UGACCUGUGACUUCCAGUCUGAAGACAAGA